GAUUCUGUAGCUCAGUUGGUUAGAGCGCUGCCCCGAAUCGCAGCUUCGAUUCCUGCCAAGGACC
Paramuricea clavata is the source of this 64-nucleotide non-coding RNA. NCBI's taxonomy places the organism in Eukaryota, Metazoa, Cnidaria, Anthozoa, Malacalcyonacea, Plexauridae. The record is from the annotation of a GenBank genome assembly.